UGAGGAAUUUUGCGCAAUGGGGGAAACCCUGACGCAGCAACGCCGCGUGAGUGAUGAAGGCCUUCGGGUCGUAAAGCUCUGUCAAGUGGGAAGAACCUGUCACGUGAUAAUACCACGGGGCACUGACGGUACCACUGAAGGAAGCACCGGCUAACUCCGUGCCAGCAGCCGCGGUAAUACGGGGGGUGCUAGCGUUAUUCGGAAUCAUUGGGCGUAAAGGGCGCGUAGGCGGUCUCUUAAGUCAGAUGUGAAAGCCCUCGGCUUAACCGAGGAAGUGCAUUUGAUACUAAGUGACUUGAGUAUGGGAGAGGGAAGCGGAAUUCCUGGUGUAGCGGUGAAAUGCGUAGAUAUCAGGAGGAACACCGGUGGCGAAGGCGGCUUCCUGGACCAAUACUGACGCUGAGGCGCGAAGGCGUGGGGAGCAAACA
RNAcentral lists this ribosomal RNA (428 nucleotides) under uncultured prokaryote. RNAcentral's name for it is "bacterial SSU rRNA". It matches the Rfam family "Bacterial small subunit ribosomal RNA", at positions 355 to 774 of the family's 1533-position model. The record is from RNAcentral.